This 429-nucleotide ribosomal RNA is filed under the name Chloroflexota bacterium. RNAcentral describes it as "Chloroflexi bacterium partial 16S ribosomal RNA". It matches the Rfam family "Bacterial small subunit ribosomal RNA", at positions 355 to 776 of the family's 1533-position model. Lineage: Bacteria; Bacillati; Chloroflexota. RNAcentral also lists the same sequence under 1 other name. The record is from RNAcentral.
UAGGGAAUCUUCGGCAAUGGACGAAAGUCUGACCGAGCAACGCCGCGUGAGUGAAGAAGGUUUUCGGAUCGUAAAACUCUGUUGUUAGAGAAGAACAAGGACGUUAGUAACUGAACGUCCCCUGACGGUAUCUAACCAGAAAGCCACGGCUAACUACGUGCCAGCAGCCGCGGUAAUACGUAGGUGGCAAGCGUUGUCCGGAUUUAUUGGGCGUAAAGCGAGCGCAGGCGGUUUCUUAAGUCUGAUGUGAAAGCCCCCGGCUCAACCGGGGAGGGUCAUUGGAAACUGGGAGACUUGAGUGCAGAAGAGGAGAGUGGAAUUCCAUGUGUAGCGGUGAAAUGCGUAGAUAUAUGGAGGAACACCAGUGGCGAAGGCGGCUCUCAGGUCUGUAACUGACGCUGAGGCUCGAAAGCGUGGGGAGCAAACAGG